This 73-nucleotide transfer RNA is filed under the name Bos taurus (domestic cattle). It matches the Rfam family "tRNA". From Rfam's summary of the family: Transfer RNA (tRNA) molecules are approximately 80 nucleotides in length. Their secondary structure includes four short double-helical elements and three loops (D, anti-codon, and T loops). Further hydrogen bonds mediate the characteristic L-shaped molecular structure. tRNAs have two regions of fundamental functional importance: the anti-codon, which is responsible for specific mRNA codon recognition, and the 3' end, to which the tRNAs corresponding amino acid is attached (by aminoacyl-tRNA synthetases). tRNAs cope with the degeneracy of the genetic code in two manners: having more than one tRNA (with a specific anti-codon) for a particular amino acid; and 'wobble' base-pairing, i.e. permitting non-standard base-pairing at the 3rd anti-codon position. The record is from Rfam by way of RNAcentral. Lineage: Eukaryota; Metazoa; Chordata; Mammalia; Artiodactyla; Bovidae. RNAcentral also lists the same sequence under 3 other names.
UCCUUCUUGGUCCACUGGUUAAGACUCUGCUCUUCCAACGCAGGGGACACAGGUUCAAUCCCUGUUCGGAGAA